GGUGGCUCAGUGGUAGAGCGCUUGCCUGGCAUGCAUGAGGCCUGGGUUCAGUUCCCCAGCACCA
Molecule: transfer RNA, 64 nt
Filed under: Dipodomys ordii (Ord's kangaroo rat)
Lineage: Eukaryota; Metazoa; Chordata; Mammalia; Rodentia; Heteromyidae
Rfam family: tRNA
About the family: Transfer RNA (tRNA) molecules are approximately 80 nucleotides in length. Their secondary structure includes four short double-helical elements and three loops (D, anti-codon, and T loops).
Source: Rfam by way of RNAcentral